UAGGAUAGAGGCCUACCACGGUGGUAACGGGUAACGGGGAAUUAGGGUUCGAUUCCGGAGAGGGAGCCUGAGAAACGGCUACCACAUCCAAGGAAGGCAGCAGGCGCGCAAAUUACCCAAUCCCGACACGGGGAGGUAGUGACAAUAAAUAACAAUACGGGGCUCUUUCGGGUCUCGUAAUUGGAAUGAGUACAAUUUAAAUCCCUUAACGAGGAACAAUUGGAGGGCAAGUCUGGUGCCAGCAGCCGCGGUAAUUCCAGCUCCAAUAGCGUAUAUUAAAGUUGUUGCAGUUAAAAAGCUCGUAGUUGAAUUUCGGGAUUGACACAUCGGUCGUGCCUUAAGGGGUAUGAACUGGUGUAGUCAAUUUCUCACCUUCUGGAGAACCGCGAUGCCCUUAAUUGGGUGUCGCGGGGAACCAGGACCUUUACUUUGAAAAAAUUAGAGUGUUUAAAGCAGGCAUUUUGCUUGAAUACAUUAGCAUGGAAUAAUAAAAUAGGACGGCAUGAUUCUAUUUUGUUGGUUUCUAGGAUCACCGUAAUGAUUAAUAGGGAUAGUUGGGGGCAUUAGUAUUCAAUUGUCAGAGGUGAAAUUCUUGGAUUUAUUGAAGACUAACUACUGCGAAAGCAUUUGCCAAGGAUGUUUUCAUUAAUCAAGAACGAAAGUUAGGGGAUCGAAGACGAUCAGAUACCGUCGUAGUCUUAACCAUAAACUAUGCCGACUAGGAAUCAGAC
This 731-nucleotide ribosomal RNA is filed under the name uncultured fungus. RNAcentral's name for it is "SSU rRNA". It matches the Rfam family "Eukaryotic small subunit ribosomal RNA", at positions 329 to 1058 of the family's 1831-position model. Lineage: Eukaryota; Fungi. The record is from RNAcentral.